This 468-nucleotide ribosomal RNA is filed under the name uncultured bacterium. Its description in RNAcentral is "partial 16S ribosomal RNA". It matches the Rfam family "Bacterial small subunit ribosomal RNA", at positions 28 to 507 of the family's 1533-position model. The record is from RNAcentral.
GAUGAACGCUGGCGGCGUGCUUAACACAUGCAAGUCGAACGGAAAGGCCCAAGCUUGCUUGGGUACUCGAGUGGCGAACGGGUGAGUAACACGUGGGUGAUCUGCCCUGCACUUCGGGAUAAGCCUGGGAAACUGGGUCUAAUACCGUAUAGGACGAUGGUUUGGAUGCCAUUGUGGAAAGUUUUUUCGGUGUGGGAUGAGCUCGCGGCCUAUCAGCUUGUUGGUGGGGUAAUGGCCUACCAAGGCGUCGACGGGUAGCCGGCCUGAGAGGGUGUACGGCCACAUUGGGACUGAGAUACGGCCCAGACUCCUACGGGAGGCAGCAGUGGGGAAUAUUGCACAAUGGGCGCAAGCCUGAUGCAGCGACGCCGCGUGGGGGAUGACGGCCUUCGGGUUGUAAACUCCUUUCGCUAGGGACGAAGCGUUUUUGUGACGGUACCUGGAGAAGAAGCACCGGCUAACUACGUG